ACUGAAUUCUCGUGGGUCUGCACUGACAACACUGACCGCUCCAGGGCCAAUUGUUCAUUUUGAAAUUGAAAUUCUGUAGCACCAUGAGAUUCAGCUC
Molecule: microRNA precursor, 97 nt
Filed under: Drosophila simulans
Lineage: Eukaryota; Metazoa; Arthropoda; Insecta; Diptera; Drosophilidae
Also listed under: 1 other name
Description: Dsi-Mir-29-P2h_pre stem-loop
Rfam family: mir-998 microRNA precursor family
Source: RNAcentral